GACAGAGGAUGCAAGCGUUGUCCGGAUUUAUUGGGCGUAAAGAGCGUGUAGGCGGCCAGGGAGGUCCGUUGUGAAAACUCGAGGCUCAACCUCGAGACGCCGAUGGAAACCCCCUGGCUAGAGUCCGGAAGAGGAGAAUGGAAUUCCUGGUGUAGCGGUGAAAUGCGCAGAUAUCAGGAGGAACACCAAUGGCGAAGGCAGAUCUCUGGGCCGUAACUGACGCUGAGGAGCGAAAGCAUGGGGAGCGAACAGG
Molecule: ribosomal RNA, 253 nt
Filed under: uncultured bacterium
Lineage: Bacteria
Description: partial 16S ribosomal RNA
Rfam family: Bacterial small subunit ribosomal RNA
Source: RNAcentral